Molecule: non-coding RNA, 26 nt
Filed under: Gallus gallus (chicken)
Lineage: Eukaryota; Metazoa; Chordata; Aves; Galliformes; Phasianidae
Also listed under: 3 other names
Source: RNAcentral
CUCUGGACUCUGAAUCCAGCGAUCCG